UGGGGAAUUUUGGACAAUGGGGGAAACCCUGAUCCAGCCAUCCCGCGUGUGCGAUGAAGGCCUUCGGGUUGUAAAGCACUUUUGGCAGGGAAGAAACGGCAUUCCAUAAUACGGGGUGUCACUGACGGUACCUGCAGAAUAAGCACCGGCUAACUACGUGCCAGCAGCCGCGGUAAUACGUAGGGUGCAAGCGUUAAUCGGAAUUACUGGGCGUAAAGCGUGCGCAGGCGGUUCGGAAAGAAAGGUGUGAAAUCCCAGAGCUUAACUUUGGAACUGCACUUUUAACUACCGGGCUAGAGUAUGUCAGAGGGGGGUAGAAUUCCACGUGUAGCAGUGAAAUGCGUAGAGAUGUGGAGGAAUACCGAUGGCGAAGGCAGCCCCCUGGGAUGAUACUGACGCUCAUGCACGAAAGCGUGGGGAGCAAACAGG
This 429-nucleotide ribosomal RNA is filed under the name uncultured bacterium. Its description in RNAcentral is "bacterial SSU rRNA". It matches the Rfam family "Bacterial small subunit ribosomal RNA", at positions 355 to 776 of the family's 1533-position model. The record is from RNAcentral.